RNAcentral lists this unclassified non-coding RNA (40 nucleotides) under synthetic construct. The record is from RNAcentral.
GGCCUCCAGCGACGGCCUUCGGGACUAGCAAACGGAGGCC